RNAcentral lists this ribosomal RNA (255 nucleotides) under Triticum aestivum (bread wheat). RNAcentral's name for it is "partial small subunit ribosomal RNA". The record is from RNAcentral. Lineage: Eukaryota; Viridiplantae; Streptophyta; Magnoliopsida; Poales; Poaceae.
AUGAGUUGCCUGGCCUAAAACUGUCGAGGACUGGGGUUGGACUCCACAGUGGGCAAGCUUCGAGACCUGAUUGGGUCGUACAACCCAGCGGUGGUAUUUCUGAGCGAGACCAAAAAAACGGCGAGAGCGAUGGAGAGACUCAAGUGGAGUCUUGGGUUCAAAAAUGAUGUGGCAAUGGAUUAUGUGGGUAGAAGUGGAGGAUUAGCUUUGUGGUGGAGAGAUCAUCUGCAGGUUACAGUGAGGCACUGGUGCUAA